GUACAGUUGAUGAGUCCCAAACUCGGACGAAACAGCUGUCCAGUAC
Trichobilharzia regenti is the source of this 46-nucleotide non-coding RNA. NCBI's taxonomy places the organism in Eukaryota, Metazoa, Platyhelminthes, Trematoda, Strigeidida, Schistosomatidae. The record is from Rfam.